AAAAAAAAAAAAAGAAAAAGACGCAGCAGAGAGUCCGUAUUGGAAACUCGCGAUCCACCGAUUUUCCACGGAUCGUAAACAGAUCGAAAUACUUGUCCCGGUAAAGUAAAUGCCGCUAGGUAUUCUUCCUUAAAUUACUUUUAAGCUUAAUCGCUAACAACCAUGGCUCUUUAGUAGCCAUUUUUCUCUACUUUGUCUGUGGACUCGGUUUUUUUUUCUUCUUUUUUUUUACAACCAUGCUCGUUUCACGAAAAUACAUGUCUCUCUUUCUUUUGUUCGUAGUCUGUACAGCCAUCUUGCGGGGGUCGUCGUAACGAAAAUAGUCGCUAGUCUAACGCUGUCGAUAGACGAAACGCUUGAACUGCCAAAGUAUCGGUCUAGUCGAACUCGUCCUCGUUACUUCGUUCGAUGUCUCAAAACGUUUGUUGCUGUUCGCGGUUUGUUUGACAAGUGAAGAAAGAAGAGAACAAAGAGAAGAGAGAGAUAAAAGGAAAGUGUUCGUUGUUGAAAGUUUAGAAUUGUCACAGUUUGACGAGUCAUUCCUGAAACUAAUCGAGAUCUAGAUCAGACUCCACUGAAUUCUACAGGCUGGGCCAAAAGUUUCUCCCCGCUUACUUUUGUUUUUCGAUAAAACCUCAAACUAUAACUAAUGUUAUCGAUUUUGAAUUAAAUUUAAGUUUAAACGCGAGUUUCUUUUUUUUUUUUACUACGUUUUGAGAAUUAUUUCUUUCAAAUGUCGUAAUAAAUUAAUAAAACAUACAUUGAUACGAUAUAUUAGUCGAUUAACAAAAAGAAUAAUUAACUAAGAAAAUAGUUACCGAUUUAUUUUCGUAGGAAGUGACUUUUCGCCCACCCUGUAAUUUCAACUCGUCAAAUCUCAAUGAGCUACGCCGAUGCCACAGAGAACUCGAUACUUCGUCAGUUCUCUCUCACGAUUUCGCAGCUUUUUUUUCCUCAAUUACGAAAUUUCCUCCUAGCGUCACUCUGGCCCGUCCUCCGACUGAAAAAUAUAUAAUCGGGAGUCUCGCGAGGACGAUGCCUGUAUACUUGCACUAUCGAGAAAACCUUACGCGUCCUAAAUUGGUGUUGUCCUAAACGAAAAACAUCGUACAGGGAAGAGUCCAUCCGUGCACCGAAUCUACAGUAAUCGCGUUUUACAAGUGUGUGUACGUGUGUUUGCGUGUUCUAUCUCUUUAAAUAUGAAAAAAAACAUGCGCAACCUGUGCAACGUCGACGGGGGGAGGAAAAAAAAAAGGCCGGAAAAUGCCGACCGUCGUUAUACAAAAUUCUGUAAGUACGUACGUCCUUAUCGACUGAGCCGCCUAUGGUAAAGACGAUUCCACGAUGGAAUGUGUAAUUCGACGAUUACCGAUUACAAUUGAAGAGUAAGAAGGGGAAACCAAAAAAAAAGGG
Molecule: long non-coding RNA, 1413 nt
Organism: Frieseomelitta varia
Lineage: Eukaryota; Metazoa; Arthropoda; Insecta; Hymenoptera; Apidae
Exons: 2
Source: RefSeq, a predicted model, not a curated record